GGGGAUUUAGCUCAGUGGCAUAAGCACCUGCCUUGCAAGCAGGUGGUCGUGAGUUCGAUCCUUAGUACCGA
This is a transfer RNA of Cavia porcellus (domestic guinea pig), 71 nucleotides long. It matches the Rfam family "tRNA". From Rfam's summary of the family: Transfer RNA (tRNA) molecules are approximately 80 nucleotides in length. Lineage: Eukaryota; Metazoa; Chordata; Mammalia; Rodentia; Caviidae. The record is from Rfam.